CUUAGUGGCGGACGGGUGAGUAACGCGUGGGUAACCUGCCUUAUACAGGGGGAUAACACUUAGAAAUAGGUGCUAAUACCGCAUAAGCGCACGGGGCUGCAUGGCCCAGUGUGAAAAACUCCGGUGGUAUACGAUGGAUCCGCGUCUGAUUAGCCAGUUGGUGGGGUAACGGCCCACCAAAGCGACGAUCAGUAGCCGGCCUGAGAGGGUGAACGGCCACAUUGGGACUGAGACACGGCCCAAACUCCUACGGGAGGCAGCAG
Molecule: ribosomal RNA, 263 nt
Filed under: uncultured bacterium
Lineage: Bacteria
Description: partial 16S ribosomal RNA
Rfam family: Bacterial small subunit ribosomal RNA
Source: RNAcentral